GAAGAAUUUGGGAGGAGCCAAAGGAGCGAGGAGACGACCAACUGCCCAGAGUGCUUCUCGUUAGAAUCUGCCUUGGCUGAUUGAUGCUCCACCAGGAAGGACCCUGAGUCGACCUAAGAGCCAAGCAAGAUGACUGGCCAGAGACAACCUGGACACUAACAGCAUCACCAUAAACCCUGAGACUGCGAGCCACAUGGCAAAACAGUUCCCCCUGGGGUCCCUUACCCUACUGAUCUCUGCCCGGGCACCCCUUCCCAGUAAAGUCUCUGCUUUGUCAGCACGUGUGUCUCCUCAGACACUUGAUUUCCGACUGCUAGACGAGACCCCACUCUCAGGCCUGGAAAGGGUCCCCCUUGCUGCAACAACCGUACGUAUGACACGGGGCACGGUCAGGUUGACAAGAAGGAUAUUGAGCUGAAAACCACCAUGCCUGCUGACACAUUCACACAGACAUCUGACGUCAGCUGUCCCCACCCCCACCAUCUGUGCUUGACACAGUGGAACACUCAGACCUUCCACUCCUCCAAUCCUCCCUUGAGAAAGAAACAUACCAGUUUUCCAUUGCUCUAAGAUGGGGAAAGCGGGGAGCUUGUCUCUAUAGUGCUGCAGUGUGUCAUUUUCAUGGUUUGGCUUUUAAGAGAUUGUUUAACUCAUAUAGAAUAUUUGUUCAGUUUGACCUAAGCAGUCAACUUGGCAGCUCUGAGAGCCCUGUUCCCACUUGGGGCAACACUGUUAUCACUUGAAGCCAGGAAGUUUGCGCUUCAGGGCACAGGGGAGCCCCAUAAAGAUGACACGGACGCAUCGCCGUGCUUCUGAUCAUUGAGCUCAGCUGUCUCUGAGAGCUUGGGAUGCGUGUGACAUCUGUGGUGCUGCUAGGACAAUUCCCCACGUCCCUCUGUAACCUGAUGCCUUUGUCAUACUGGAGAGGUCCAGCCAGGAGGAGAGGCACUAAUUGAAGGCACGUGGUUUCCAUUCCCCCCGGGGAGGAAACGCAUUUGAUGGCUUCCUACAUCUCCGUCAAUCAACAGGCACAGGUAUUGGCGGUAAGCUGAGCGGAGGACACUGAGGUGGGUGUAGAAAAAUACAGAAGUUCGAAGAAACAAAUAUCCCACUGGCAACAUUAUUAUGAAUCAGAUAAAGGAAAGAAGAUCUGGGAUGAUGCCACUGUGGUUCAGGGUGCUGAGGUCACCUGUCCAAGGUCAGGCAGCUAAAACCUGGCCCGGGUGGAAUGAAAACAUAAGAAGAACCUGACAGGCCAUGGGGAACACAGCCUAAUUAGCGAGGUGUCCCAGGCGCGGUGAUAACAGGUUGAAAGGAUGUGUGACCAAGCGGCGGUCCUGAAAGCUCAGGCCGUGUGGAUCUCCAGAAUUCUGAGGCGCCCAGCUCAGUGAGGCUCCUCACUGCCCCCCUUCCCAAUCAUCAAAAAUCAUUCCAAGCCCACAGUGUGCCCUCCGGGGCAGGCCAGAGACGCGUCUGCAUGCCAACACCUCUGGGAACUAAAAGGCCCUCCCCCAGUGGACCAGCACUGAAUUCCAUGGGUCACAAACUGUGUGCAGUGUCGCAACUGUGGUUCAAGGGGAACUCCUGGCUGAAGCCCACAAGGGGCAGGCAGGGGCAUCAAAGCAGCUGCCCUCUGCUCCCAGGGGACCUGGAAGAAAGCGGUCUUGACCUUUGCGUGACCCAUGGCCCAUGGGUGACAGAUGUCGUGCUAUGAACUGUGCCUUCACCCUAAGGCUGAGCAGCUGGGCAGAAGGGAGACACGUGAAUGGGCCGAGGCUGUGAGGGAGCAUGAGAAAGCACUGCCGUCCACACCAACGUCUCAUAACCAACAAGGGGCAUGUGGACCACCAGUCAGUGGCAUGGGCAGACGCUCCCAGAUUCUGGAGACACGGCCCUCUCUCCUAUCUCCUAAGGAUGCCUGUAACAUGUCCAAGGGCUUUCCCUUGCAUCCCUGCCCAGAAGCCCCCGAAACAGGCAGUCAAAGGUGUCCCUACUUGACAGGAAUAUCAGGCUCCCAAAGGCAAAGCGUCUGCUGGAGCUGACCAAGGCAGCCUGUGAGAAGAAGCUGCGUCCGGGCUGUCUCUUCUAUUCCAGUUCCCACGUGAGGACGCCACCUGUCUUCCUCCUGGGGUUGUCAUGGGGUCCAUCAGAAGUAGGGGUGGAGAAACUGAGAGUGAGCGAUAGAGGAAAGGGAACAGGAAAGGAGUUCUUGCUGAGCGCCUGAUGCUGAAGACUAUAUACAGGUAUAGUCUUGUCACUUAGUUGCUAAACUAUGUCUCUUUCCCACCCCAUGGAUUAUAGCCCAGCAGGCAUAUCUGUCCAUGGGAUUUCCCAGGUAGGAAUACUAGAC
Long non-coding RNA from Bos taurus (domestic cattle), 2350 nucleotides. NCBI's taxonomy places the organism in Eukaryota, Metazoa, Chordata, Mammalia, Artiodactyla, Bovidae. The record is from Ensembl.